RNAcentral lists this ribosomal RNA (975 nucleotides) under Arthrobacter sp. TB 69. RNAcentral's name for it is "bacterial SSU rRNA". It matches the Rfam family "Bacterial small subunit ribosomal RNA", at positions 54 to 1041 of the family's 1533-position model. The record is from RNAcentral. Lineage: Bacteria; Bacillati; Actinomycetota; Actinomycetes; Micrococcales; Micrococcaceae.
CAUGCAAGUCGAACGAUGAUCCCAGCUUGCUGGGGGAUUAGUGGCGAACGGGUGAGUAACACGUGAGUAACCUGCCCUUAACUCUGGGAUAAGCCUGGGAAACUGGGUCUAAUACCGGAUAUGACUCCUCAUCGCAUGGUGGGGGGUGGAAAGCUUUAUUGUGGUUUUGGAUGGACUCGCGGCCUAUCAGCUUGUUGGUGAGGUAAUGGCUCACCAAGGCGACGACGGGUAGCCGGCCUGAGAGGGUGACCGGCCACACUGGGACUGAGACACGGCCCAGACUCCUACGGGAGGCAGCAGUGGGGAAUAUUGCACAAUGGGCGAAAGCCUGAUGCAGCGACGCCGCGUGAGGGAUGACGGCCUUCGGGUUGUAAACCUCUUUCAGUAGGGAAGAAGCGAAAGUGACGGUACCUGCAGAAGAAGCGCCGGCUAACUACGUGCCAGCAGCCGCGGUAAUACGUAGGGCGCAAGCGUUAUCCGGAAUUAUUGGGCGUAAAGAGCUCGUAGGCGGUUUGUCGCGUCUGCCGUGAAAGUCCGGGGCUCAACUCCGGAUCUGCGGUGGGUACGGGCAGACUAGAGUGAUGUAGGGGAGACUGGAAUUCCUGGUGUAGCGGUGAAAUGCGCAGAUAUCAGGAGGAACACCGAUGGCGAAGGCAGGUCUCUGGGCAUUAACUGACGCUGAGGAGCGAAAGCAUGGGGAGCGAACAGGAUUAGAUACCCUGGUAGUCCAUGCCGUAAACGUUGGGCACUAGGUGUGGGGGACAUUCCACGUUUUCCGCGCCGUAGCUAACGCAUUAAGUGCCCCGCCUGGGGAGUACGGCCGCAAGGCUAAAACUCAAAGGAAUUGACGGGGGCCCGCACAAGCGGCGGAGCAUGCGGAUUAAUUCGAUGCAACGCGAAGAACCUUACCAAGGCUUGACAUGAACCGGAAAUACCUGGAAACAGGUGCCCCGCUUGCGUCGGGUUUACAGGUGG